RNAcentral lists this unclassified non-coding RNA (327 nucleotides) under soil metagenome. RNAcentral's name for it is "partial contains 5.8S ribosomal RNA, internal transcribed spacer 2, and large subunit ribosomal RNA". The stretch from base 1 to 120 matches the Rfam family "5.8S ribosomal RNA", at positions 35 to 154 of the family's 154-position model. The record is from RNAcentral.
GAUGAAGAACGUAGUUAAAUGCGAUAAGUAAUGUGAAUUGCAGAAUUCAGUGAAUCAUCGAAUCUUUGAACGCACAUUGCGCCCCUUGGUAUUCCGGGGGGCAUGCCUGUUCGAGCGUCAUUUCAACCCUCAAGCUCAGCUUGGUAUUGAGUCCAUGUCAGUAAUGGCAGGCUCUAAAAUCAGUGGCGGCGCCGCUGGGUCCUGAACGUAGUAAUAUCUCUCGUUACAGGUUCUCGGUGUGCUUCUGCCAAAACCCAAAUUUUCUAUGGUUGACCUCGGAUCAGGUAGGGAUACCCGCUGAACUUAAGCAUAUCAAUAAGCGGAGGA